This 2898-nucleotide ribosomal RNA is filed under the name Escherichia coli STEC_MHI813. Its description in RNAcentral is "23S ribosomal RNA". Lineage: Bacteria; Pseudomonadati; Pseudomonadota; Gammaproteobacteria; Enterobacterales; Enterobacteriaceae. The record is from RNAcentral.
AAGGUUAAGCCUCACGGUUCAUUAGUACCGGUUAGCUCAACGCAUCGCUGCGCUUACACACCCGGCCUAUCAACGUCGUCGUCUUCAACGUUCCUUCAGGAGACUUAUAGUCUCAGGGAGAACUCAUCUCGGGGCAAGUUUCGUGCUUAGAUGCUUUCAGCACUUAUCUCUUCCGCAUUUAGCUACCGGGCAGUGCCAUUGGCAUGACAACCCGAACACCAGUGAUGCGUCCACUCCGGUCCUCUCGUACUAGGAGCAGCCCCCUCAGUUCUCCAGCGCCCACGGCAGAUAGGGACCGAACUGUCUCACGACGUUCUAAACCCAGCUCGCGUACCACUUUAAAUGGCGAACAGCCAUACCCUUGGGACCUACUUCAGCCCCAGGAUGUGAUGAGCCGACAUCGAGGUGCCAAACACCGCCGUCGAUAUGAACUCUUGGGCGGUAUCAGCCUGUUAUCCCCGGAGUACCUUUUAUCCGUUGAGCGAUGGCCCUUCCAUUCAGAACCACCGGAUCACUAUGACCUGCUUUCGCACCUGCUCGCGCCGUCACGCUCGCAGUCAAGCUGGCUUAUGCCAUUGCACUAACCUCCUGAUGUCCGACCAGGAUUAGCCAACCUUCGUGCUCCUCCGUUACUCUUUAGGAGGAGACCGCCCCAGUCAAACUACCCACCAGACACUGUCCGCAACCCGGAUCACGGGUCCACGUUAGAACAUCAAACAUUAAAGGGUGGUAUUUCAAGGUCGGCUCCAUGCAGACUGGCGUCCACACUUCAAAGCCUCCCACCUAUCCUACACAUCAAGGCUCAAUGUUCAGUGUCAAGCUAUAGUAAAGGUUCACGGGGUCUUUCCGUCUUGCCGCGGGUACACUGCAUCUUCACAGCGAGUUCAAUUUCACUGAGUCUCGGGUGGAGACAGCCUGGCCAUCAUUACGCCAUUCGUGCAGGUCGGAACUUACCCGACAAGGAAUUUCGCUACCUUAGGACCGUUAUAGUUACGGCCGCCGUUUACCGGGGCUUCGAUCAAGAGCUUCGCUUGCGCUGACCCCAUCAAUUAACCUUCCGGCACCGGGCAGGCGUCACACCGUAUACGUCCACUUUCGUGUUUGCACAGUGCUGUGUUUUUAAUAAACAGUUGCAGCCAGCUGGUAUCUUCGACUGAUUUCAGCUCCAUCCGCGAGGGACUUCACCUACAUAUCAGCGUGCCUUCUCCCGAAGUUACGGCACCAUUUUGCCUAGUUCCUUCACCCGAGUUCUCUCAAGCGCCUUGGUAUUCUCUACCUGACCACCUGUGUCGGUUUGGGGUACGAUUUGAUGUUACCUGAUGCUUAGAGGCUUUUCCUGGAAGCAGGGCAUUUGUUGCUUCAGCACCGUAGUGCCUCGUCAUCACGCCUCAGCCUUGAUUUUCCGGAUUUGCCUGGAAAACCAGCCUACACGCUUAAACCGGGACAACCGUCGCCCGGCUAACAUAGCCUUCUCCGUCCCCCCUUCGCAGUAACACCAAGUACAGGAAUAUUAACCUGUUUCCCAUCGACUACGCCUUUCGGCCUCGCCUUAGGGGUCGACUCACCCUGCCCCGAUUAACGUUGGACAGGAACCCUUGGUCUUCCGGCGAGCGGGCUUUUCACCCGCUUUAUCGUUACUUAUGUCAGCAUUCGCACUUCUGAUACCUCCAGCAUACCUCACAGUACACCUUCACAGGCUUACAGAACGCUCCCCUACCCAACAACACACAGUGUCGCUGCCGCAGCUUCGGUGCAUGGUUUAGCCCCGUUACAUCUUCCGCGCAGGCCGACUCGACCAGUGAGCUAUUACGCUUUCUUUAAAUGAUGGCUGCUUCUAAGCCAACAUCCUGGCUGUCUGGGCCUUCCCACAUCGUUUCCCACUUAACCAUGACUUUGGGACCUUAGCUGGCGGUCUGGGUUGUUUCCCUCUUCACGACGGACGUUAGCACCCGCCGUGUGUCUCCCGUGAUAACAUUCUCCGGUAUUCGCAGUUUGCAUCGGGUUGGUAAGUCGGGAUGACCCCCUUGCCGAAACAGUGCUCUACCCCCGGAGAUGAAUUCACGAGGCGCUACCUAAUAGCUUUCGGGAGACCAGCUAUCUCCCGGUUUGAUUGGCCUUUCACCCCCAGCCACAAGUCAUCCGCUAAUUUUUCAACAUUAGUCGGUUCGGUCCUCCAGUUAGUGUUACCCAACCUUCAACCUGCCCAUGGCUAGAUCACCGGGUUUCGGGUCUAUACCCUGCAACUUAACGCCCAGUUAAGACUCGGUUUCCCUUCGGCUCCCCUAUUCGGUUAACCUUGCUACAGAAUAUAAGUCGCUGACCCAUUAUACAAAAGGUACGCAGUCACCCCAUAAAAGAGGCUCCCACUGCUUGUACGUACACGGUUUCAGGUUCUUUUUCACUCCCCUCGCCGGGGUUCUUUUCGCCUUUCCCUCACGGUACUGGUUCACUAUCGGUCAGUCAGGAGUAUUUAGCCUUGGAGGAUGGUCCCCCCAUAUUCAGACAGGAUACCACGUGUCCCGCCCUACUCAUCGAGCUCACAGCAUGUGCAUUUUUGUGUACGGGGCUGUCACCCUGUAUCGCGCGCCUUUCCAGACGCUUCCACUAACACACACACUGAUUCAGGCUCUGGGCUGCUCCCCGUUCGCUCGCCGCUACUGGGGGAAUCUCGGUUGAUUUCUUUUCCUCGGGGUACUUAGAUGUUUCAGUUCCCCCCGGUUCGCCUCAUUAACCUAUGGAUUCAGUUAAUGAUAGUGUGUCGAAACACACUGGGUUUCCCCAUUCGGAAAUCGCCGGUUAUAACGGUUCAUAUCACCUUACCGACGCUUAUCGCAGAUUAGCACGUCCUUCAUCGCCUCUGACUGCCAGGGCAUCCACCGUGUACGCUUAGUCGCUUAA